UACGUAGGGUGCAAGCGUUGUCCGGAAUUAUUGGGCGUAAAGGGUGCGUAGGUGGCGCGCUAAGUCAGGUGUGAAAUUUCGGAGCUUAACUCCGAAACUGCAUUUGAUACUGGCGUGCUUGAGGACUGGAGAGGAGACUGGAAUUCAUGGUGUAGCAGUGAAAUGCGUAGAGAUCAUGAGGAAGACCAGUGGCGAAGGCGGGUCUCUGGACAGUUCCUGACACUGAGGCACGAAGGCCAGGGGAGCAAACGGG
This 253-nucleotide ribosomal RNA is filed under the name uncultured bacterium. Its description in RNAcentral is "partial 16S ribosomal RNA". It matches the Rfam family "Bacterial small subunit ribosomal RNA", at positions 524 to 776 of the family's 1533-position model. The record is from RNAcentral.